AGAGUUUGAUCCUGGCUCAGGACGAACGCUGGCGGCGUGCCUAAUACAUGCAAGUCGAACGCACUGACGGAGAACUUGUUCUCUUGACGUGAGUGGCGCACGGGUGAGUAACACGUGGGAAACCUACCCUUCAGCGGGGGAUAACCAUCGGAAACGAUGACUAAUACCGCAUAGACGACAGAACCGCCUGGUUCAAUCGGGAAAGACGGCUUCGGCUGUCACUGAAGGAUGGUCCCGCGCUGCAUUAGCUAGUUGGUAAGGUAACGGCUUACCAAGGCGAUGAUGCAUAGCCGACCUGAGAGGGUGAUCGGCCACAUUGGGACUGAGACACGGCCCAAACUCCUACGGGAGGCAGCAGUAGGGAAUCUUCCGCAAUGGACGCAAGUCUGACGGAGCAACGCCGCGUGUGUGAAGAAGGUUUUCGGAUCGUAAAGCACUGUUAUUAGAGAAGAACAGCCGAUAGAGUAACUGUUAUCGGUUUGACGGUAUCUAACCAGAAAGUGACGGCUAACUACGUGCCAGCAGCCGCGGUAAUACGUAGGUCACAAGCGUUGUCCGGAUUUAUUGGGCGUAAAGGGAGCGCAGGCGGUUUGUUAAGUCUGAUGUGAAAGCCCACGGCUCAACCGUGGAACGGCAUUGGAAACUGGCAAACUUGAGUAUAGAAGAGGAAAGUGGAAUUCCAUGUGUAGCGGUGAAAUGCGUAGAUAUAUGGAGGAACACCAGUGGCGAAGGCGACUUUCUGGUCUAUAACUGACGCUGAGGCUCGAAAGCGUGGGGAGCGAACAGGAUUAGAUACCCUGGUAGUCCACGCCGUAAACGAUGAGUGUUAAGUGUUGGGGGGCUUCCACCCCUCAGUGCUGGCGUUAACGCAAUAAACACUCCGCCUGGGGAGUACGA
Molecule: ribosomal RNA, 897 nt
Filed under: uncultured bacterium
Lineage: Bacteria
Description: bacterial SSU rRNA
Rfam family: Bacterial small subunit ribosomal RNA
Source: RNAcentral